Molecule: long non-coding RNA, 1258 nt
Organism: Apis dorsata (giant honeybee)
Lineage: Eukaryota; Metazoa; Arthropoda; Insecta; Hymenoptera; Apidae
Exons: 3
Source: RefSeq, a predicted model, not a curated record
AGUGAAUGCAGUAAAUUUGUAGAAUUUAUGCUCUAAAAAGUUUUAAAUAUGGUAAAUUGUAUUAUAAAUUAUUUUUAGGAGUCGAGAAAGAAAGAAAAUCUAACUUAGUUCAAACGUCUGACUUGACGGUUUCACGAUAGUUUGCUAAAAUAAAUGAUUCAUCGGAAAAAUUCACGUCGAUACACCAGUCACGAGUAGAUGGCUCAUGUCGACGAACGGAUCCUGAAUUAACCACGAAAACGAGAGGUUAAAUAAGCUGCCCAGUCACGUUUUGACUCUUUAACGCGACCGCAACCUUUACAGAUGCUACAUUAUAGCAACCUUUCGUAACUGACAUGUAAUUAUCGAACCAAUCGAGGCUGACUACACCUCUGGCUAAUUCGUUAACGCCGACGACCGGUCGAUACCAGGUGUUUCGAGUAUCGGCCAGCUUUACCGAGAAUGAGGUAACGACCUCAUCGACGAUCCUUUUCGUUUCGCGUGUAAUUGACAUCCGGAAUCGUCAGCUAAUAUACGAAUAGAUGAUCGAAUCAACCAGGCUUCCUAAAAUCAUCUUUACGCGUACCAGUAAACCAUAUUACGACAAUCAUCUAGACAACUGUGGGACAGGAGUGGCUCGUUUUCGAAGCAAGAUGAGACAGAGUUAAGCAAAUGGAUGUAAUUCCUAAUGGAUAGAGCGUUAGACAACGUUCCCCGGUCGGGAUGAAUGUUAAUAUCUGCUCGGGGACGGAAUCGCAAAGUUUUCAAUUAACGGUGAGAAAUUUUUAAACGUCACGACGUUGAAGAGGAUCAAGAGGAUGAAGAUCGUUCUCUAACGAGGCACAACAUCGCUAAUGCAAUUGGAUAAUUAAAAGAACGAAUCGUGAAUCGCGUUUCUCUUAAUAAUAGCCAUGGAUUCGUCGAAUAUUCCUCCGACUGACGACGCGGCACGUAUAGACUAAACUCGUAAGACGUGACAUCAGAUGUUGCGCCAUUAGGAUUCCAAAGGACACUUUGGAACUCCGCCGAGAGUUUCCGGGAUGCAUGCAACAAUCGGAUUGGAUUACUCGCUCGAAUACUCGAGAUGUACAUCCGUGAGUGACGAGAGGAUAUUGUGAUCGAGUUUGAAGGAUUUGGAGAGGGGCGAACGAUAUUUAGCGGCGGAGUUGCCUAUUAAAUACAGCUACCUCUAAUCCUUAAUACCUCUGUGAAUCCAAUCUCCCGUUUAAAUUUAGUCGGAGUAUGUGAUAUCAAAAUGGGGUUAAAUACCAAGUGUCGG